GCCCUAGAUGUUCUGGGCCGCACGCGCGCUACACUGAACAGUUCAACAAGUCUUAACCUUGGCCGAUAGGUCUGGGUAAUCUUUGAACGCUGUUCGUGAUUGGGAUAGACCUUUGCAAUUAUGGGUCUUCAACGAGGAAUUCCUAGUAAACGCAAGUCAUCAGCUUGCAUUGAUUACGUCCCUGCCCUUUGUACACACCGCCCGUCGCACCUACCGAUUGAAUGGUCCGGUGAAAUCUCGGGACGGCGGCUUGGUCGCUUGCGUCCGACUGCUGAAACUUGAUUAAACCAUAUCAUUUAGAGGAAGGUGAAGUCGUAACA
This 320-nucleotide ribosomal RNA is filed under the name uncultured eukaryote. RNAcentral describes it as "partial 18S ribosomal RNA". It matches the Rfam family "Eukaryotic small subunit ribosomal RNA", at positions 1470 to 1796 of the family's 1831-position model. The record is from RNAcentral.